CCUACGGGGGGCUGCAGUGGGGAAUAUUGGACAAUGGGCGAAAGCCUGAUCCAGCCAUGCCGCGUGUGUGAAGAAGGCCUUCGGGUUGUAAAGCACUUUCAGUGGGGAAGAAAGCCUUGGGGCUAAUACCCUCGAGGAAGGACAUCACCCACAGAAGAAGCACCGGCUAACUCCGUGCCAGCAGCCGCGGUAAUACGGAGGGUGCGAGCGUUAAUCGGAAUUACUGGGCGUAAAGCGCGCGUAGGCGGUCUGAUAAGCCGGUUGUGAAAGCCCCGGGCUCAACCUGGGAACGGCAUCCGGAACUGUCAGGCUAGAGUGCAGGAGAGGGAGGUAGAAUUCCCGGUGUAGCGGUGAAAUGCGUAGAGAUCGGGAGGAAUACCAGUGGCGAAGGCGGCCUUCUGGACUGACACUGACGCUGAGGUGCGAAAGCGUGGGUAGCAAACAGGAUUAGAUACCCUGGUAGUC
Molecule: ribosomal RNA, 465 nt
Filed under: Vreelandella stevensii
Lineage: Bacteria; Pseudomonadati; Pseudomonadota; Gammaproteobacteria; Oceanospirillales; Halomonadaceae
Description: partial 16S ribosomal RNA
Rfam family: Bacterial small subunit ribosomal RNA
Source: RNAcentral